This 490-nucleotide ribosomal RNA is filed under the name uncultured bacterium. RNAcentral describes it as "partial 16S ribosomal RNA". It matches the Rfam family "Bacterial small subunit ribosomal RNA", at positions 30 to 507 of the family's 1533-position model. The record is from RNAcentral.
AUUGAACGCUGGCGGCAGGCCUAACACAUGCAAGUCGAACGGUAACAGGAAGAAGCUUGCUUCUUUGCUGACGAGUGGCGGACGGGUGAGUAAUGUCUGGGAAACUGCCUGAUGGAGGGGGAUAACUACUGGAAACGGUAGCUAAUACUGCAUAACGUCGCAAGACCAAAGAGGGGGACCUUCGGGCCUCUUGCCAUCGGAUGUGCCCAGAUGGGAUUAGCUAGUAGGGGGGGUAACGGCUCACCUAGGCGACGAUCCCUAGCUGGUCUGAGAGGAUGACCAGCCACACUGGAACUGAGACACGGUCCAGACUCCUACGGGAGGCAGCAGUGGGGAAUAUUGCACAAUGGGCGCAAGCCUGAUGCAGCCAUGCCGCGUGUAUGAAGAAGGCCUUCGGGUUGUAAAGUACUUUCAGCGGGGAGGAAGGGAGUAAAGUUAAUACCUUUGCUCAUUGACGUUACCCGCAGAAGAAGCACCGGCUAACUCCGUG